Molecule: ribosomal RNA, 1056 nt
Filed under: Campylobacter jejuni
Lineage: Bacteria; Pseudomonadati; Campylobacterota; Epsilonproteobacteria; Campylobacterales; Campylobacteraceae
Description: partial 23S ribosomal RNA
Rfam family: Bacterial large subunit ribosomal RNA
Source: RNAcentral
CUAACGCAGGGAACUGAAACAUCUUAGUACCUGCAGGAAAAGAAAAUAAAUAAUGAUUCCCCUAGUAGUGGCGAGCGAACGGGGAUUAGCCCAAACCACCCAUGUUACGGCAUGUGUGGGGUUGUAGGACCACGCUCUCGCAAGACAGUUAUUGAGAAGAAACGACUGGAAAGUCGUGCCAUAGACGGUGAUAGCCCGGUAUUCUAAGGUAACCGAAGCGUAGUGGUAUCCUGAGUAGCGCGGAGCACGAGGAAUUCUGCGUGAAUCAGCCGGGACCAUCCGGUAAGGCUAAAUACUCCCGAGAGACCGAUAGCGAACCAGUACUGUGAAGGAAAGGUGAAAAGCACUUCGAAUAGAAGAGUGAAAUAGUCCCUGAAACCAUGCGCCUACAAGCGGUCGGAGCAGCGUAAGUUGUGACGGCGUGCCUUUUGCAUAAUGAACCUACGAGUUACUUUUUCCGGCAAGGUUAAGCAUCUUGAGAUGUGGAUCCGAAGCGAAAGCGAGUCUGAACAGGGCGGAUAGUCGGAAGGAGUAGACGCGAAACCAAGUGAUCUACCCUUGGGCAGGUUGAAGGUUAGGUAACACUAACUGGAGGACCGAACCGAUAAGCGUUGAAAAGCUUCCGGAUGACCUGAGGGUGGGGGUGAAAGGCUAAUCAAACUUGGAGAUAGCUCGUACUCCCCGAAAUGCAUUUAGGUGCAGCCUUGAGAGUUACUAAUGUGAGGUAGAGCGACUGAUAAGAUGCGAGGGCUUCACCGCCUAUCAAGUCUUGAUAAACUCCGAAUGCGCAUUAGUUCUAUCUCAGGAGUGAGGGCAUGGGUGCUAAGGUCCAUGUCCUAAAGGAGAAGAAUCCAGACCAUCAGCUAAGGUCCCCAAAUAAACACUAAGUUGAACUAACGAAGUCAGAUUGCUAAGACAGCUAGGAUGUUGGCUUGGAAGCAGCCAUUCAUUUAAAGAGUGCGUAACAGCUCACUAGUCGAGGAGUUUGGCGUGGAUAAUAAUCGGGCAUUAAGUGUUUUACCGAAGCUAUGGGAUACGUAAGUAUCGGUAGGGGAG